Long non-coding RNA from Dunckerocampus dactyliophorus (ringed pipefish), 5407 nucleotides. RefSeq lists it as uncharacterized. The record is from RefSeq and is a predicted model, not a curated record. Lineage: Eukaryota; Metazoa; Chordata; Actinopteri; Syngnathiformes; Syngnathidae. The transcript has 10 exons.
UUCAUAUCAUCUCUUUAACGCAAAAAACAUGCUUAGGGAAGUAUUUCAAAGCUGUAAGACUGUUUUAAGUUCUUUGGAAACUUUGUGAGAACCUAGGUAGUCUUCGACCGCGUUUUAGGCGGCAGUUAGUGCCCUCGCGGGCAUUUGGGUUCGGAUGGCCCUCACCCUUGUCUUACAGGAAAGCUCAUUGUAUGUGGUAAUUGGGCUCCUGCACACACGCGCGCACAUACACAGCCCCACCCACAUUAUCAUCUUUGUUAGUUGUCAAAAGAUUUACAUUUUCAAAUUAUAUUUUGUGUGUGAUUAAUUUGUUUCUUGAAAAGGUUUCACCAUUGGGCACAUUUUUAAUUUCAUCAUGAAAUAAUAGUUUAAGAAGCGAACGUGUAGAAAGCACUGAUUUAUGUAGGAGAGUUCAUGACGAGAAGAAAAGCCAGUAAACAAUACACUUUGUUUCUACGUAGCUAGCCGCUACAAGUGAAAAGAUAACUUUUGUUAUAGAUAUAGACAUCUUACCGCAGAGUUAGUUCAUCCAUAAUCACAAUAAUAAAGAUGAAAGUUGCAUCUUUGUGUGUAGCUUGAAAUGCUGCGGGGGAGCAAGCGCGAAUCAGGAGUGGAGCUUAAUGUCAGCUGACUGAUGUCAUAUGACAACUACAAAGUGACGUUUAUGCGAUCUACCAGUAGCUCGCGAUCGACGUAAUGGCCCCCCCUGGUGUAUGUUAACAUGUUUAUGUUGCAAGUGUAAAACCAAAACAGUGAAAUUAGCUCCAGAAAUGUGAUUUACAAUAGAGUGAAGGUAUUGUGGGAAAAGUAAUGACGAUAUUGAAUAGAUGAAUGUUAUUUGCACUUACCUGUGACCAUUGGUACAAGAAGAACGUAAUUCUUGAAAUAUGUGAAUUUUGAAUUUCAAUAGAGACACCAUUUGGACGAAGAACUUGAGUGCUCCAUGUCUCAUUGUUGUUAUCCAUCUUUAUCAGUUCUUACAGUAUUUUGUAUCUUGUUAUUGUGGUACUAUAUUCUGGGACCCGUAGCACAUACAGUAGUUGGUUCCUGGUUCCGUGGUAAAUUGGUGCAAUGAAAAAGAGCUUUAUAAGUAUUUACAGUAAGUGCUUGUCACAGAUAGAUGUGUGACAUCCAUGUCUGUCCUUAUAUCGUCAAAUUCAAGAUUCAAGAUUCAAGAGAGUUUUAUUGUCAUGUGCAUAGUAAAACAGCAGUUAUACCAUGCAAUGAAAAUCUUAUUCUGUUCAUUCUCCCAAGAAAAGAAAGAAAACAAAUGAAAGAAUAAGAACAUAAGAAACAUAAACAUAAAUACCAAUAAAUUAAGCAACAACAACAGAAGAGACAUUAAUACAAGUAAAUAAUACAAAUAAAUAAAUAAAUAAAGUGCUAUGAGUGUGUGCGUGUGUUACGUGCGGCGUGUGCGAGUGCUUCGUUGAGGAGCCUGAUGGCCUGUGGGUAAAAGCUGUUUGCCAGCCUUGUGGUCCUGGACUUCAAACUCCUGUAGCGUCUGCCUGACGGUAGGAGUGUGAAUAAUGAGUGUUGUGGAUGUGUGCUGUCCUUGAUGAGGUUGUGUGUUCUGCAUAGGACUCUAGAUUUAUAAAUGUCUUGCAGUGAGGGGAGGGCUGCCCCCAACAAUGUUGUGUGAGGUCUUGAUCACCCGCUGGAGUGCCUUCCUAUCACGUGUUGUACAGUUACCGUACCAAACAGUGAUGGAGGCGCCACAACGACCUGUCGUGGGUGUAGUGUACCGGGCUCAAGGCUGGGCCUGGUGGGGUGCGUGCCUAUACAGCGGCAAGUGUCAAUCAAAGCUGAGCGAAAUGAGUUUCAUGGUCGCUUUCAUGGUUCUGGUCGGCCUAUGUGCCCUGUGACACUCAGUACAAAGAUGCAGUCAGACAAACACUGGAGCAGAUUGAUGUGAUCCAUAGGAUGUGUCACAAAUACCCCAACGAUUUCAUGUUUGCCACCAGCAGCCAAGACAUCAUGGAGGCAUUCAGACACAACAAGACGGCCAGUCUGAUCGGGGUGGAAAGGGCUUGUGGAGGCUUGUGGGCAGAUAUCUGCAGUGUAGACACCGGAGCAGAACCAUCUCAGCACAAUGGCCUACCUCCAUUUGACAAGGGCAGUCUACAAGGAAUAUUUGGAUUUCAAGUGAUUGCAGGAAUGAAUCGUGUGGGAAUGCUGAUAGACCUGGCUCGUGUCUGUAGGAGUGAUGAACCAAGUGUUGGACAUGUCAAAGGCACUCGUCAUCUUCAGCCACUCCUUUGCCUUCGGUGUCUGUCCACACCAGAGGAACGUUCCUGAUGAUGAUCUCAAAAGAGUGCCAGACAGGUCUGUCAUAGAACUGGGUACAGCGUACACUGAGUGAGGGCCAGCAGCAGCAGUGAUGACAGUCCAGUGAUGAUGGCGGAAAGAAGAAGCAUACCACGCCGACCAAAAUGACUGACGGUGAAGCAGAUGAAAAUGCAGGCCAGUGCUCCUGUGGCGACUCUGACAAAGUAGCUGAAGUAGAAGUUGGUGGAAUACAUGUGCAGGUUUCUGGUGAAGCAGUACUGGAUGCCUGUUCCAAUUAAGCUGGAGGCAAGAAAGUCAGUCAAGGCCAAGAAACAAGCAUGUACACACAUGACACACAUGAAAAAACACUCCUCUGUCUAAAUAUCCUCAAUAAAUAAGACAUACAGGAUUCAUGUGGUAUGUGGUUUUCAUCGAUUAGUUAAAAAACACUCACAGAGUGAAGCUGAGGAUGAGGCAGUUCUUCCAGAUAACAUGAGUCCGACGCAGCACCAAAAUGGAAUAAUACCUGGGCUGGCACUCGUCUUCGAAUACCGAUUCCACCUCUGCACACAAAAACAUUAAUUAACCACCUUCACCAACCAGAACAUUAUGUACACCCAAAUAAUGUAAUACGAUCCAACACAGUAGCUGGACCUAACAAAACCUUAACACAAAUAAUAACACACCGUUUUAAUGUCUUGAGAUGUUUUCAUUUAAUAGUAUGUUUGCACUGUAGUUUGCAGCAGUAUAGAAGAUUCACCAACAGCGCUGCAUGAUACUGAGUGGUGUUGAUUACUAUAUUUAGCCAAAUUAGAAGUAGGAAACAUACAUGUAGAUGAACCGCAUAACAUCAUAAAUACAUCACAAUAAGAGCUGGCAAUGGUCAUCAUUAUCUUUGUAUCAGUAUCUUGUAUCAUCCAGUACAUCCGUACAUUGUUGUGCACUUUGGAGAUGACCAUUUCAGUCAGUGUGUACAGCAGUGUUUAAUUGUUUUACUACAUGAGUCAUCCAAAAUAAGACUAAUGCAUCAUUAUCAAGGGCUGGAGCUGAGGGAGUCGUUUCAAAUACCUGCUGAAAAUGACAGUAUUACUGGCGUGUUCCUGCAUGUGUGUACAAGUGGUGCUGGGAGUGGGAGUACACACGGUACCUGACAACAGAGUUUCACCAGGGAACAGCUCAUCCGGCAAACACACCCCAUUCCUGGUGGAGAAUUCCUGGAGGCUCCUCUUUGCUUGAGGAAUCUGAGUUGUGGCCAGCAGCCAACGAGGGGAUUCAGGAAAAACUGAGGCACAACUGAACAAAACAAUUGAAACGAGUAGGAGCAGAGGUAACGUGGUAACAGCCUGGAGAACUGGCCAAUCGUGACACAGAACUGCGACGCCUGGCAACAGCAGCUCUGCAAAGAUGGCGAAGAAGCCGCUGACCAUGGCAACCAUGAGACGACGGGGAGGGUCGCAUAGCUCCAACCCUUGUCUGGAUUCGUGUUCCUGUUCCUGUUCCUCUUCCUCUUCCCAGUGUGAGCAUGGGGACAACAAAACGAGAAGCUCCCUUCCUGCUUACUGUUUGGCCCUGCUAUUGUUCCAAAAUCUCAGCGGAGAAUCUGCAUCCGCAGGACAUCACAAAUGCAUUUGUGUGAGGCUAACAUGAACUAACUUUCAAAAGUCUGGACUCCAUCUAGGCCUGACCUUGUAGGAAUGUGUGAAUGUCAAAACAGAAGGGCGGAUUAUAUUAAAAGUAUAAAAGUCUACCCUGUACCACCCUGCUCAGCAAAGGAAUGUGUACUGCUAUGUAGGCUAAUGUUACAUUCCCAUGCAGGUUUAUGGAGGAAACACUGUAUUGGAUACACUGUGUGCUGUAUGCAUACCAGCCUGAUCCAUUUCAGCACAGUGAUGGAAGACCCUGAGUGAAGAGAGUUGACAGGAGAUAUUCCAAAAAUCCCACAGAAAUUCUAGAGGAAAUUCCUACCCCCAUGUUUUUCAUCAAGUAAAAGUAGCUGAUUGCAAUAAAAAUGCCAUUAAUGUGAUAUAUGUACUGUUUUUACCAACUUGCUUUCAGGAGUUCACAGUGAACACGAUCAUGCUGACUGAUGCCACAGCUGAUGUGAUCCUAUUACAACAUGGUGCUGCUCUCUCGCCAUGUGCUCAUAUGCAAUACUAUAUGUCUUGUUGCCGUUAUGUCUUCAGGCAAAAUACAGUGUGGAAAAUUUGAUCCACUGCUAAUUUUGUAUGUUACCCCUUACAGAGAUAUGAACAGGCCAUGAAGUACACCAUUUAGUCCUGUGCCUUCAUCAAGAAACUUGGUUGAAAAGAGGCCACUGUUGGCAUGAUAAUUCAGAAAUGAAAGAAAUACUGUGACAGCCGUUUUCAGUAUUACCGUAAUUUCCGCUGUAUAAGCCGCUACUUUUUUCUUAAACUUUGAACCCUGCGUCUUAUACAGCGGUGCGGCUAAUUCGUGACAAUCUUCUAAUCCUGUGACAUCUCCUAUACUUCAGAACUACUACUAAUCGUUUAAAUACUGUGCCACUUGGGAGUCACUGAGGAAACGGUAGCUCUUUCUUUGGCAGGAGCCAAUCACGAGCUAUAAGGGAUGCCGGGCUGAGCUACCAGAGAGAGCUCAGAAGCUCAUGAGCAGCCAUGGUAGCCAUUGCUGCUCUGCUGGGAACAAUGUAUUAUAGGAAGUUAAAAUAGUUGCUGUUUUUUAUUUUGAACUCAUAUUAGUACUUGUCUUGUAUAUUUCUUAGCUAACUUUUGAGUGUUAAGUUGCUGUGUGAUGAUGUUAGCGUUCUACCUAAGAUGACACUGUGAGUCAGACUGUAAUAUUGAGUAAUGACCUCCUGUGGUUGACAAACCCCCGUUGAGUUUUGUCAUAGCUCAUGAUUGGCUUCUGUCAAAUAAAGAGCUGCCUCGUCCUCACGGACUCAUGCACACCACAAUACUGUAUUUUUAUGGCAUGGACAUGUGCGUCUUAUAGUCCGGUGCGGCUUGUAUAUGUACAAAUCUGUUUUUCCUCUCUAAAUUUAGCGGGUGCACUUUAUACAUCGGAAAUUAUGAUAAAUAAUUCCAAAACAUUGAAAACCGAAGCAAUUUUUCCAUGGGAAAUUACAGUAUGUAAAUAAAUCCAUGAAUUCCAUUAAUCCAAA